Caerostris darwini is the source of this 112-nucleotide non-coding RNA. The record is from the annotation of a GenBank genome assembly. NCBI's taxonomy places the organism in Eukaryota, Metazoa, Arthropoda, Arachnida, Araneae, Araneidae.
AACGGCCGUACCAUGCUGAAUAUACCGGUUCUCGUUAGAUCACCGAAGUCAAGCAUCAUUGGGCGCGGUCAGUACUUGGGUGGGUGACCACCUGGGAACACCGCGUGCCGUU